This 700-nucleotide ribosomal RNA is filed under the name uncultured marine Syndiniales. RNAcentral describes it as "SSU rRNA". It matches the Rfam family "Eukaryotic small subunit ribosomal RNA", at positions 627 to 1334 of the family's 1831-position model. The record is from RNAcentral. Lineage: Eukaryota; Dinophyceae; Syndiniales.
CUCGUAGUUGGAUUCUGUCGAGGACGACCGGUCCAUACAAUGUAUGUGCAUCUGGCUCGGCUUCGGCAUCCUCUCGAAAAACGUUUCUGUGCUUGAUUGCAUGGAGCGGAGUUCGGGACUUUUACUUUGAGGAAAUUAGAGUGUUCACGGCAGGCUAUCGCCAGAAUACAUUAGCAUGGAAUAAUACUAUAGGAUUUCGGUUCUAUUUUGUUGGUUUCUAGAAUUGAAAUAAUGAUUAAUAGGGACAAUUGGGGGCAUUCGUAUCAUGGCGUCAGAGGUGGAAUUCUUGGAUUGCCGUGCGACGAACUACUGCGAAAGCAUUUGCCAAGGAUGUUUUCAUUGAUCAAGAACGAAAGUAAGGGGAUCGAAGACGAUUAGAUACCGUCGUAGUCUUUACCACAAACUAUGCCGACUCGGGAUGGGACCUCGUUCUUUUAAGACUGGUUCCGCACCGUAUGAGAUAUCAAAGUUUUUGGGUUCCGGGGGGAGUAUGAGCGCAAGCUUGGAACUUAAAGGAAUUGACGGAAGGGCACCACCAGGAGUGGAACCUGCGGCUUAAUUUGACUCAACACGGGAAAACUCACCAGGUCCAGACAUAAUAAGGAUUGACAGAUUGAUAGCUCUUUCUCGAUUUUAUGGGUGGUGGUGCAUGGCCGUUCUUAGUUCGUGGAGUGAUUUGUCUGCUUAAUUGCGUUAACGA